ACGAACGCUGGCGGCGUGCUUAACACAUGCAAGUCGAGCGGAAAGGCCACUUCGGUGGUACUCGAGCGGCGAACGGGUGAGUAACACGUGAGUAAUCUGCCCCUGGCUUUGGGAUAGCCACCGGAAACGGUGAUUAAUACCGGAUAUGACACAUUCUCGCGUGAGUUUGUGUGGAAAGUUUUUCGGCCAGGGAUGUGCUCGCGGCCUAUCAGCUUGAUGGUGAGGUAAUGGCUCACCAUGGCUUCGACGGGUAGCCGGCCUGAGAGGGUGACCGGUCACACUGGGACUGAGACACGGCCCAGACUCCUACGGGAGGCAGCAGUGGGGAAUAUUGGACAAUGGGCGGAAGCCUGAUCCAGCAACGCCGCGUGAGGGAUGACGGCCUUCGGGUUGUAAACCUCUUUCAGUACCGACGAAGCGCAAGUGACGGUAGGUACAGAAGAAGCACCGGCCAACUACGUG
RNAcentral lists this ribosomal RNA (462 nucleotides) under uncultured bacterium. Its description in RNAcentral is "partial 16S ribosomal RNA". It matches the Rfam family "Bacterial small subunit ribosomal RNA", at positions 29 to 507 of the family's 1533-position model. The record is from RNAcentral.